This 84-nucleotide transfer RNA is filed under the name Bacteroidota bacterium. Its description in RNAcentral is "tRNA-Leu". It matches the Rfam family "tRNA". From Rfam's summary of the family: Transfer RNA (tRNA) molecules are approximately 80 nucleotides in length. Their secondary structure includes four short double-helical elements and three loops (D, anti-codon, and T loops). RNAcentral also lists the same sequence under 5 other names. The record is from RNAcentral. Lineage: Bacteria; Pseudomonadati; Bacteroidota.
GGCCACGUGGCGGAAUUGGUAGACGCGCUACUUUGAGGGGGUAGUGUCCUUACGGAUGUGCUGGUUCGACUCCAGUCGUGGUCA